RNAcentral lists this ribosomal RNA (254 nucleotides) under uncultured bacterium. RNAcentral's name for it is "partial 16S ribosomal RNA". It matches the Rfam family "Bacterial small subunit ribosomal RNA", at positions 524 to 776 of the family's 1533-position model. The record is from RNAcentral.
UACGUAGGGUGCAAGCGUUGUCCGGAAUUAUUGGGCGUAAAGAGCUCGUAGGCGGUUUGUCGCGUCUGCUGUGAAAACCCGAGGCUCAACCUCGGGCCUGCAGUGGGUACGGGCAGACUAGAGUGCGGUAGGGGAGAUUGGAAUUCCUGGUGUAGCGGUGGAAUGCGCAGAUAUCAGGAGGAACACCAAUGGCGAAGGCAGAUCUCUGGGCCGUAACUGACGCUGGAGGAGCGAAAGCAUGGGGAGCGAACAGG